UUGAAAUGCAUUCACACUCAUGUCAGGAAC
Molecule: non-coding RNA, 30 nt
Filed under: Homo sapiens (human)
Lineage: Eukaryota; Metazoa; Chordata; Mammalia; Primates; Hominidae
Source: RNAcentral